CUUCAGCUGACGAGUCCAAAAUGGGACGAAACACUCGUUCAGGAU
Molecule: non-coding RNA, 45 nt
Organism: Schistosoma mattheei
Lineage: Eukaryota; Metazoa; Platyhelminthes; Trematoda; Strigeidida; Schistosomatidae
Source: Rfam